This 207-nucleotide ribosomal RNA is filed under the name uncultured bacterium. RNAcentral describes it as "partial 16S ribosomal RNA". It matches the Rfam family "Bacterial small subunit ribosomal RNA", at positions 568 to 774 of the family's 1533-position model. The record is from RNAcentral.
CGUGUAGGCGGCUUUGCAAGUCGGGUGUGAAAGCCCUCGGCUCAACCGAGGAAGUGCGCCCGAAACUGCAGAGCUUGAGUGCCGGAGAGGAUGGCGGAAUUCCCCAAGUAGAGGUGAAAUUCGUAGAUAUGGGGAGGAACACCGGUGGCGAAGGCGGCCAUCUGGACGGUAACUGACGCUGAGACGCGAAAGCGUGGGGAGCAAACA